Saccostrea cuccullata (small rock oyster) is the source of this 758-nucleotide long non-coding RNA. RefSeq lists it as uncharacterized. The transcript has 5 exons. The record is from RefSeq and is a predicted model, not a curated record. NCBI's taxonomy places the organism in Eukaryota, Metazoa, Mollusca, Bivalvia, Ostreida, Ostreidae.
UUAGAUUUUCAGAAAAUGUAGGACUAUCUUUCGUUUUUCCUCUCUUUUACUAUGAUGAUUUUCCUGCUGUGAAGCUUUUCUUGUAUAAAGCUCAAUUUCUCUCUGACCACGGAAGUAAACAUCCUGAUGCAUUCUUGUCAUGUGAAUGUUGAGAGCGUGUUCAUUUUUGAAAUCUCCUUUCUGACAGACCUAUUCCACAGGAUCAGCUGAGAUGUUAUUUCACUGGAUUAUUUAAUGGAUAGGCUUAUUGGGCAUAUAUUUGGAUAUCUCUGUAAUGAGCUUUUCAAAAAAUGAAGGACUACAUGUUGUACUGUGAUGAUGCUAAAAAAAAUGUAUUUUUCUGUAUGCAGUACUGACAGUCAUCAACAUGGAAGAUAAGUUUUGUUCCUAACCAUCUAUAAUCAAUUCUCUAUGAAGUUCAGACUGUCUGCCCUUCCUUUGGAAAUACACAGUUAGUCAACCAACAUAGAAACACACAAACUUGAAGGAUUCUCUAGUGAGGGCUUAUGGAAAUGAUCUAUGUCUACUCUUAGAAUGGUAAAAGACUAUCAGAUUAUGCAAAGACUAACAGAAUAUCCUCUCUUGGAACACUGAAACAAGAAAACCAAACUUAAGAGGAUGGUGGAUUUAAGAAGAACAUAGAUAAAUAUGAUUUCCAACGAAUUUAACCAGUACGAUCAUAGACUGUGGUUAACAGGAUGACAAAGAAAGGACCCAGGAUUGUAUCUUUCACUGUCAGACACUGACUAUGGAUAAAG